AUCGGUGGAAAUUGAAGAAAAUGAAGAGUAGAAUGUAAAAAUGGUGUUUAGAAGUGAGAAAAGUGGGAAAAGAUGAGAUUUUGGAGGUCUUGUUGGUGCAAAAAUGGUGGUUUUCGGCGCUGCAGUGGUUGGGAGAGGGUGGGUGUGCGAAAUGAGAGAGAAAAAGUUGGUUUUAUAGGGUAGGGUUGGGCGCGUAAUCGAUUACGAGGUUGAUGUAAUCGAUUACCAGGGGUCUGUUGCAAUUUUCUCAGCCAGCAAGCUCUGGUAAUCGAUUACA
RNAcentral lists this long non-coding RNA (277 nucleotides) under Vigna radiata. Its description in RNAcentral is "long non-coding RNA (VRAD_LNC001218)". The record is from RNAcentral. Lineage: Eukaryota; Viridiplantae; Streptophyta; Magnoliopsida; Fabales; Fabaceae.